RNAcentral lists this long non-coding RNA (658 nucleotides) under Gossypium barbadense (sea-island cotton). Its description in RNAcentral is "long non-coding RNA (GBAR_LNC013162)". Lineage: Eukaryota; Viridiplantae; Streptophyta; Magnoliopsida; Malvales; Malvaceae. The record is from RNAcentral.
GUUGCUCUGCUAGGUUUUCUUAACCUAGCUUCGCGCCGCCGCUUGGCCUGCACCUCCACGCCUCGAUUUCGCUGGAGAAGACACCGGCCUGACAACUCCGGCGACCAGGUAAGUCUCUCCUCCUUUCUUUAUACCUUAAUUGAAAAAAAAAUAAAACAAAAAGGGAAAAAAAAUAGACUCGCCUUCAAAAAUAUCUUUGUCUCAGUAUAUUUUUCUCUCUAUAUUUGUCUCUGUUAAACUGAAAAUUCCCCCCCCAUUACACAAAAUUUGACUCGGUUUUAUAGCCGACCUAGAGAAAUAACAAUAAAAUCAAUAAAAAAUCCCUUGAUUCUCUGUAUUCUGUUGUUAUUUGUUUUUGAGUCUCGUUACAGGUACUGUUGGAGGAGAAUGCGCGCGACGUGCGCGGAGUAAUGUGCGCAACAUGCGGAGGCAACAGACGUGACGUGCGGGGGGCUGUUGCGGCGUGCGUGUAGGAGCUACUGCGGCGCGAGUUUGCUGCAGCGCCUAGGGUUUUUUUGGUUUUAGGCUAAUGGGGCUUGGGUUAAUUUUUAUUGGGCCAUACGGGUUGUAUGUUUAUUUGGGCCCGGGCAUAUUUGGGCUUGUAAAAAAAACUUGGACUGCCUUAUUUUUUGUUUUGUAAGGGCCCGGGCCAAUUGGG